Molecule: RNA transcript, 918 nt
Organism: Amaranthus tricolor (Joseph's coat)
Lineage: Eukaryota; Viridiplantae; Streptophyta; Magnoliopsida; Caryophyllales; Amaranthaceae
Exons: 8
Source: RefSeq, a predicted model, not a curated record
AAGGCAAAAGUAAAAUGUACUCGAAUGUAUUUAUACAUUUAUACUUCUGCUUCGUCCCAAAUUCCUUCCUGCAGUUGGAAUUUGGUUCUCCUCUGAGCGGCUCCUCAGUCCUCCUUCCCUCAACCAAGCCUCACAGAUAGAACUGCGGCAAAACGUUCUUGCAUUCUUCGAUGGACCCUUCAUCAGCUGGAUUUCCUGUACCCCAUAAGCAGCUCACUUUUGAUGUUAAGGGAAUUAAAACAAAUUUGGUCAUUUGUCGUUAUGAAGAUCAUUUUCUUGUUAUCGUGACUCAACUUGGAAGCUUGGGAACGUUAUUGCAAGCCAGGAAGGAGGAAGGCGUAUCAGUUCAGCCAACAUUUCACGUGUCCGUCUUAUUUGGAAAACGAGAUGAGCCAAUGCUGUCUGCGUGUGCUCGGCAGCUGAUCGAAAAUAUAAGUAUUUCCAACAAGUGGCGUAGAGUGGAUCAAAGAGUUGAGAGAUGAAUGACAUAAAUAAUAGCUACAUGGUCUUGGAUUCAUUGCUGCUGGUUCGUCUAGAUGUCUGGUGCUUUCUCUUGGUCUGAAAGACCAUUCUACGGAUACAAUCAAGGCCAUAGUUUCCGAAGUGAUAGAAAAUCGACUCUGGUGAUCGUGUAGCUAUAUCUUGAAUCGAUGUGCAUCAGUAACAGAGAAGAUAAUCGUGUAAUGCUUCAUCCUGUCGUGUUAAGCCUUUUACUGUCUUGCAAGUUGUUAGGAUACCGGGAACAGAAGCUUCCGCCACUGUCAUCUUGCAGCUUUUGUCCACAAGUACUCUCCGAUUUCUUUUCACCUCUCGAGAUUUUCCAUUUUUCUGGUUAACCCUUUUUUUAACUUCUAAUCUGUCCGAUUCAACUAUAUGUUCCGUCUUAUUUUUGCUCAUUACCAUAUAAAUUUACUAUCC